CAGAACAUAGAUUUAGUUGGGGUUAUUUUUCCUGUGUAUGCAGGCACAUACAGUAAUGCAUUUUAGAUGCAUGUUCUUAUGCAGCUGGCUUUGAGCUUCUUUGGUCUUUGGUGAACAGGGACAAGGAAGCAAUUUUGCCUCUGCAGUUCUAUGCAGGCACAGGUGUAUUUUUAGGCCAUUUGACAAUGAGUAACACACUUUCCUUUCAGACGUUUUCUGGGUGGGGACUGGAACCCAGAGGUUUGCAAUGAAUGGACAGAGGCAAAUGCUCAGAGAAAUCCAUGGGCUUGCAGUACGUGUGCUGCUGCUGCUGCCAAUGCUGCCCGCCUGAUGCCGGCGAGCUUGCUGCUGCCCCCGGCGGCGGGCUGCCCGGCGCUGGCGGAGCCCCGGCUCCUCGGGAAUGCUGGGAAUGUUGAGUCAGGGACUGGCAGCCCAGGGAGGCAAGGCUCGCAGCUGGCUGAGAGAGACUCGCUGAGGGGAGACUCGCUGAGGGACGGAAAGACAAGGGACAGGAGCACACAAGCCUCUCCCGGCUGCAGCAGGUCCCCUCUUCCUCCCCUCGCGGGUGUUCGGUUGCUCCGGCUCGCCCUGCUGCCUCCUUCCUCCGAGCAAAUGAGGUGUCAGCUAAACGUGAUGUUGUAAAAUCCAUGUGAGGACGAGACACAGAGGCAAUGAUUUGAAAGGUCUCUGACUUCGGAGGAACAACAGAUUUUUGUCUACUGGAAGAAUGCAGUGAAACUGCCAACAUUUCUAGCUGGAAUUAUAAAUUUAAUAUUCAACUUUAGUGUUACUAAUUUCUUACUAAAUAGUACCUCAAAGUAGAAGAAAAAUGUAUGGAAGUGCAAGAACAAUCAGCAACUUAGAAGGAAGUCCCUCUAGGUCUCCUCGUUUGCCAAGAUCCCCUCGCCUGGGCCAUAGGCGAACAAGUAGUGGAGGAGGAGGAGGAACAGGUAAGACGUUAUCAAUGGAAAACAUCCAGUCCCUUAAUGCAGCCUAUGCAACAUCUGGACCAAUGUAUCUGAGUGACCAUGAAGGUGUAGCUUCUACUACUUUCCCAAAGGGCACAAUGACUCUUGGAAGGGCUACAAAUCGAGCUAUGUAUGGUGGUCGAGUCACAGCUAUGGGGAGCAGUCCUAAUAUUGCUUCAGCUGGACUUUCACACACAGAUGUCCUUUCUUAUACUGAUCAGCAUGGAGGUCUGACCACAUCUUCACACCAUCACCACCAUCAGGUUCCUUCUAUGUUGAGACAGGUUAGGGAUAGUACCAUGUUAGAUUUGCAGGCUCAGCUUAAGGAACUACAGAGGGAGAAUGAUCUUCUCAGAAAAGAACUAGACAUUAAGGACAGCAAAUUGGGAUCCUCCAUGAAUAGCAUCAAAACUUUCUGGAGUCCUGAGCUGAAGAAAGAAAGAGUACUGAGAAAAGAAGAAGCAGCCAGAAUGUCAGUUCUUAAAGAACAAAUGAGAGUUUCCCAUGAAGAAAAUCAGUUUUUGGAUGCCAGGAGAACAAAGCAUCUGCAAAUGACAAUCCAGGCACUUCAAGAUGAGCUUAGAACCCAGAGAGACCUUAACCAUCUUCUCCAGCAGGAAAGUGGAAACCGGGGAGCUGAGCAUUUUACCAUUGAACUCACAGAGGAGAAUUUUCGAAGACUUCAAGCAGAACAUGAUAGACAAGCUAAAGAGCUAUUCCUGUUGAGAAAAACACUAGAAGAAAUGGAGCUUAGGAUUGAAACACAAAAGCAAACACUAAAUGCCAGAGAUGAGUCAAUAAAGAAGCUUCUGGAAAUGCUGCAAAGUAAAGGUUUGCCGUCUAAAGGAAUGGAAGACGACAACGAGAGAACUCGAAGGAUGGCAGAGGCUGAAUCUCAGGUUAAUCAUUUAGAAGUUAUUUUAGAUCAGAAGGAAAAAGAAAACAUGCAUCUUAGAGAGGAGUUGCACAGAAGAACCCAGCUUCAGCCUGAGCCAGCAAAGACGAAGGCUCUUCAAACAGUUAUUGAAAUGAAGGAUACAAAAAUAGCUUCACUUGAGCGCAAUAUAAGAGAUCUUGAAGAUGAAAUACAAAUGUUAAAGACUAAUGGAGUUCUGAAUACGGAGGACCGAGAAGAAGAAAUCAAACAAAUAGAAGUUUACAAGAGUCACUCUAAGUUCAUGAAAAAUAAGAUUGAUCAAUUGAAACAAGAACUCUCAAAGAAAGAAUCAGAACUUCUUGCCUUACAAACUAAGCUUGAAACCCUUAGCAAUCAGAAUUCAGAUUGCAAGCAACACAUUGAAGUGCUUAAAGAGUCACUUACUGCCAAAGAACAGAGAGCUGCCAUACUUCAGACAGAGGUUGAUGCCUUGCGAUUACGAUUGGAAGAAAAAGAAACCUUUCUGAAUAAAAAAACAAAACAACUACAAGACCUCACAGAAGAGAAAGGAACCCUGGCUGGAGAGAUUAGAGAUAUGAAAGACAUGUUGGAAGUAAAAGAAAGAAAAAUUAAUGUCCUUCAGAAAAAGAUUGAAAAUCUACAGGAGCAACUUAGGGACAAAGACAAACAACUAACUAAUCUAAAAGACAGAGUGAAGUCAUUGCAGACGGAUUCUAGUAACACAGACACAGCACUAGCAACCUUAGAAGAAGCUCUCUCAGAAAAGGAAAGAAUAAUAGAGCGCUUGAAGGAGCAAAGAGAGCGAGAUGACAGAGAAAGACUUGAAGAAAUUGAAUCUUAUAAAAAAGAAAACAAAGACCUGAAGGAGAAAGUUAAUGCUUUACAAGCUGAACUGACGGAAAAAGAGUCUAGUUUAAUCGAUCUCAAAGAACAUGCAUCUUCAUUGGCAUCAGCAGGGCUGAAAAGAGACUCCAAACUUAAGUCUUUAGAAAUAGCCAUAGAACAAAAGAAAGAAGAGUGUAGUAAGUUGGAAGCACAGUUGAAAAAGCAAGCUGAACAGUUGUUCAAUCAGAUGUACAAUCCAAUGCCAAUUAGGAAUAAUGGGAAGCAAGGGGCUCAUGAGGCUGAAGAGGAGGCACGGAUGAAUCCAGAAUUUGCAGACAGAAUGAAACAGCUUGACAAAGAAGCAUCAUACUAUAGAGAAGAAUGUGGCAAAGCUCAGGCUGAGGUUGACAGACUUCUAGAAAUACUCAAGGAAGUAGAGAAUGAGAAGAACGACAAAGAUAAGAAAAUUGCUGAGUUAGAAAGCUUAACUUCCAGACAUAUGAAGGACCAGAACAAGAAGGUUGCCAAUCUGAAGCACAAUCAGCAAAUGGAAAAAAAGAAGAAUGCACAGUUGUUGGAAGAAGUUCGUAGGCGAGAGGACAAUAUGACUGACAAUGCUCAACAUUUACAAGUAGAAGAGCUGAUGAAUGCACUGGAAAAGACUAGACAAGAAUUAGAUUCUACCAAAGCACGUCUUGCCUCAACACAGCAGUCUUUGGCUGAAAAAGAAGCACAUCUGGCUAACCUGAGAAUAGAGCGAAGAAAACAGCUUGAAGAAAUUUUAGAAAUGAAACAGGAAGCUUUGCUUGCUGCAAUUAGUGAAAAAGAUGCAAACAUUGCCUUGCUUGAACUGUCUGCUUCAAAGAAAAAGAAGACUCAAGAGGAAGUAAUGGCUCUUAAACGAGAGAAGGACAGAUUAGUACAUCAGUUAAAACAGCAGACACAAAACAGGAUGAAACUGAUGGCAGAUAACUACGAUGAUGACCAUCACCACUACCACCACCAUCACCACCACCACCAUCAUCGAUCUCCUGGGAGGCCACAACACUCCAACCACAGACCCUCUCCAGAUCAGAUGAUCCAGUCACUGUUGGAGGCACAUAGCCACGGCAAAAUCUCAUGCUGUACAUUGAUCACCUGUCCAACCUUUGCCUAGAGUGUGAUCCCCAGUUCCUUCAAGAGAUCCAUCUUUACCUGUCUAUAAAGAAGAAGAGGAGGGAGACAUCUGGGAUAUUCAAGUAUCAAAGUUUAACACCAGAGCAGUUGUCAGAGGAACUAAUGAAAGAGGAAGAAAAAAAAUGUAGCGCUGGAAGGUAACAAUGAUAAUCUAUUGCACUGGAUCUCCAAAUGUAACCACGAUAUCCAGGAGAAGGAUCACAGAUGCAGAAAAUGAAUGCAGAGGUUGAUAUCUAAUGAAAUGCUGCAUUAAUUGGCAUUUUCUCCGUUAUUUCUUGUAGUCUACUAUGAAAUUAGAUACUUUGGAAAACAACAAAGGUGACUCAAGCAGGAAUCAUAAGAGCUUCAUUUCUGUCUUUAAUGGGUCUUGCAAGUUAUUUUGUUUUUACAAAAGAAACCAUCUGUUCAGAGUACUAUAGUUUAAUGAAGUUCAGUUAAACAGGUUAUUUAACUAAUUUUUUGUAAAUUUAUAUUGAUUUUAAUAAGUAAUUCCGAUUCUCUUAAAUGUAGUAUCUGCAUUUGCUGAUUCUAAAGUAUCAGUUCUGUUGCACUAGAUUAUCGAAGAGGUAUUAGUAAAAUGCUGUAUGAGGGUGUUGGCAUUAAUCUUACCCCCAGUUAGAUGCGGGCUUUUCCAAAAAAUAAACUCCAAGCCUUUGCCCUCCUCUGUUUUCUUAGAUCUACUGAUAAAAUAAUAAUAGUAACCCAAAAAAACCCAAAACCAACCAACCAAAAAAACCAAACCAAAACCCAAAACACAUCGAUAGUAUAACCGGUAUUAAGCUCUGGGCCAGGUUGGAAAUGAAAUCAAUUUUUGGUACUAAUAACUGAUAACAAAGAUAACUUUAUGAAAAUAUGGUGUGUGUCUCUGACAAUGCAUAGGACAUCUAAUUUGAUCAUAAGAUUAUAUACAAGAUGUAUCUAUUCCUGGAUGGUAAAAGCUUGAGGCAUAUAUAAAUACAUAUGAAUGUAUAUAUAUGGACAUAGACACAAGGAUGUAUCAACCUUUUACCAUCCAAAUGCAUACAGGUUUUCAACAAUAAAAGCUGGGACUCUUAAAAAAAAAAAAAAAGAAAAAAAAACCAAAAUAACAAAAAUAAAGAUAAGAUUGCUGUGAAUACAGUAUAUGCACUAGGUCUCCUGUAAAUGAGCAACUGUUUGUUAUUGUUUUCUACAUUGAAAACCAGUCUCCAACAUGGAUCCCAAUGAAUCUUAGAUGUUAAAGAAACUACCAAUGAACAAAUAGCAUUUAAAGGCUGUUUGUAUCAAAAAAUAAUAAUAAAAAAAUUAAAAAAAUGUAUCUAGUAAAAUAAAUGUAAAGCACAUGCAAGGAAAAACAAAACAUGCGAAGUCAUUACAUUGAGUGAGAGAUUAUAACUGACACUCAAAUCUCUACCACUUCUCAAGGAGAGGAUCCUAAUGACUCCAUGAACAUUUUCAGUCAGUCUAGCAAACGUGCACGUUUGCUGUUUUAUUGAGGUAUCUUUGUGUCCAUGGAAGAAAUGUUUCCAUGCUGAUGGGAGUGGGAAUUGAAUAUCUGCAUUUUUAAAGGACAAACAAUAAAUUUAAGCAUGGGUGGCCUUAAUCCUUAGUAGUUUUUCUUUGCUGCUGUAAACAAGAGAAAUCUAAAUGGAUACUCCGAAAGUCUUGCACUGAAUUUAGAAAAAUUAUUUUUUGAACCUGUGGUGCAAUUAUCCCUAAACAUCCUACAUGAGCCAUACAUAGUAACCCCUUUCAAAUUAUUGUCUAGAGAUGAUAUUUUAUUUAGUUGUACCAUAAUUCUCAGUGCAAUCAAAGAGCAAUUCAUUCAAGCAGGAGUCUUGCUGGAUGCUACUGUCUUCAGUAAAUAGAGUAAAAUGCAUAGAAUUAGUAUAGCGUAGAUAAUUCCAAUUUCAUUCAUGUUUAAAAAGUUUGUCCUUUAACUAUCAAUGGCAUUUUAGAUCUUUGUUUUUGAAACAGCAAAGCUUUUGGGAGUUUAUUUAGCACACAUGACAAAUGUUGCACUUGGAAACUCAGACAACAAAACUAGUUUCUCAUGACAAAUUUGUUGUCAUAGUAGGGGACAGUCGGUGGUGUCUCUUACAAUCAGGUCUCUACCUUAACUCUGCAACUGAAUACUUGAAGUAGGAAAUAAACUAGGGGGGAGUAGGGUCACAGGUACAAAGCUGUAUAGCUAGAUAUUUAUAUGUAUGUGCCAAUUUUGUCACAGGUAUUAUUUUAGGGGCAUUUUUGCUCCACUCAUGUUGGUAAGAGUAUUGAUCUAAACUUUUAUCAGGGCCUACAAGUUAGCCCCUAAAGAGGAAGACUUUGUCUAACAUAGCUUUUUUUUCUUUUCUUCUUUUUUUUUUUUUUUUUCCUUUUUCCCUUUUCAUUUCAUGUGAUAACUCUGUGCUGUUUGGAAAAAAUCUUUUCAUAUACUAAAAUAGAAUCUCGGGGUUUACAAUAAACACUGUGACGUUGGGAAAUAUUUUAUUUGAGCAAUGUUUGGUAGGUUCCCCCCUUCCCCCUCUAAGUGUAAAGAAGCAAACCAACUUUUGGUUAACAUUUAAAAUUGUUAUUAUUAUUUUAAUGUGAGAUCAGUCUUGUACUACACAUUCUUUAUUAUUUCAUUUAAAUGUACAGUAUGAAUUUUGUAUUUAAUGGAUUUUGUGUAUCCAGUAUGCACGUACCUGCACAUUGACUUUCAUUUGAAAGUGGGUUUCAAUUUACUUUUUAAACAGUGUUUAUGAAAAGACCUCAGAUGUGUUGACACAAACUAUAUCUGCAAUGUUUUUGUGUGUGUAGGGUGACGUUUGAAUGUGAUGUUCUGCAGCAAUGGGUCAGUAUUCCCUAUUUACCUUAGAUCCUCAUUUGAUAGCGCUUCUUGUAAUAAUUUUUUGAAGUGAGUGGCAUGUUCUGGAUUGUGAUAUUGAUAUAUGGUUAAGGACAUUGAUAUGAAACUAAGGAAUUCCUAGAAAUUACCAGUGGGCAUGUAUUAGACAGUCAUUGUAAUUUAAUGUCUAGUAGAAGUGUAAAGUACCAAGGUAUUUAGAGUUCAUAACAUUGUUAUCAUGUGUAUGGGAAGUAUUUAGUGUUGAUCAGCUUGUUUAUAUUCAUCAAAUAAACUUGGUUUCUUUCUGAAA
Pezoporus flaviventris is the source of this 6986-nucleotide RNA transcript. It is a transcript of the gene named ELKS/RAB6-interacting/CAST family member 2, with no coding region annotated. The record is from RefSeq and is a predicted model, not a curated record. NCBI's taxonomy places the organism in Eukaryota, Metazoa, Chordata, Aves, Psittaciformes, Psittacidae. The transcript is spliced from 21 exons.